ACCACCUUAGUAUAACAGUACGAGUGACCUCCAAUCACCAAGUUUUAGAUACAUCUAAAAAGUGGUA
RNAcentral lists this transfer RNA (67 nucleotides) under Chelus fimbriata (Mata Mata). RNAcentral's name for it is "tRNA-Gly". The record is from RNAcentral. Lineage: Eukaryota; Metazoa; Chordata; Testudines; Chelidae.